Molecule: ribosomal RNA, 421 nt
Filed under: uncultured bacterium
Lineage: Bacteria
Description: bacterial SSU rRNA
Rfam family: Bacterial small subunit ribosomal RNA
Source: RNAcentral
GGAAUAUUGGACAAUGGGCGCAAGCCUGAUCCAGCCAUGCCGCGUGUGUGAAGAAGGCCUUCGGGUUGUAAAGCACUUUUGUCCGGAAAGAAAAGCGGUCGGUUAAUACCCGGUCGUUCUGACGGUACCGGAAGAAUAAGCACCGGCUAACUUCGUGCCAGCAGCCGCGGUAAAACGUAGGAGGCGAGCGUUAUCCGGAGUUACUGGGCGUAAAGGGUGCGUAGGCGGCAUGGCAAGUGAGGCGUGAAAGCCCCGGGCUAAACUCGGGGAGGACAUCUCAGACUGCUAAGCUAGAGUGAAACAGAGGAGCGCGGAAUUCGGGGUGUAGCGGUGAAAUGUGUAGAGAUCCCGAGGAACACCAGUGGUGCAAACGGCGCUCUGGGUUUAGACUGACGCUGAGGCACGAAAGCUUGGGGAGCGA